UUUGUAUCAAAUUUAUUUAAAUUUAUAAUAAUGAAGCCAACUUUGUUAGUACUAAAAGUUAUUUAAAUUUUGUAUAUAUAUAUUAUUAUUUGUAUUGUAUAAUUAGUAUAUGUAUUAUAUUUAAAUGUUAAAUUUGUUGUUUUAUAUUUAGAUAAAGAUUUGUGUAUUAUCAUUGUAAAUUAUAAUUUUAAAGUUUAUUGAACUGUGAUGUGUAGUUUAAUAUUUUUUGUUUGAUGUUUAAAUAUUUAACUAUAGGAGGCACAGUUGUUAUAUAUGUACCAAGUAAAAAUAGUAAGAUUAUUUUAUCUAAAUUAAUAAAUAAAUAUUCAAACUACAAAAAAAUGAAUAUUAUGAAGUAUUUAAAAAUUAAACUAUUUAACUGAUAUGAAUAUUUAAAAUUAUGCAGAUUUAUUUGAAUAUUAAAAUUACAUAUAUAAUUUGUAAUUUAUUUUUUAUGACAUAAAGAUUCAGUAAGUAAAUUACCGCAAUUAAUAUUUAAAAUUUAAUAUUUAAUAUUUGUUUAAUUAAAAGUAACCUAUAUCAAAAUCAUAAGUAUUAUUAUAAAAUACUAUUUAUAAAAAUAUAAAUAUAUUGUUAAUAAAAUUAUCGUAUUUUAAAUGCGUUUAUUAAAUGCGUUUGUCUAAGAAAAAUAUUUAAGAUUAUUCUUGUAUAUAUAUUUAUAAAUUAAUAAUUCUAUUUUAAAAAUAAAAUCCUCAAUUUACACUUUCAAAGUAGCAUAGUAAUUUGUUAACUAAUUAUUAAAGCGUUCCAUAGAAAUUUUUUAAAUUAAAACAAAUUAAAUAAGUUAUGAAAUAAAAUAAAAAUUUUAAUAAAAAUUAAAUAAUUAAAAUAGGGCAAGUCCUACUCUCCUUUACAAAGAGAAUGUCAAUAAUAAAAUACAUAAUUGUAUGUUUGAUUGGGGCAAUACUAUAUUUAUUUAUAUAGCAUAAGAACUAUAAUUAUUGAAAUAAUAAAAGGUUCGAGCAGGUUAACAAGCAUUAAAACUAAAUGUGUUUCAUCGUCUACUUAUUGUUGAAAUCAAAUUGAUUGUUCAUCAAAAGUACAAUUCGUUAGUUGGGUUAAAAUCGUUGUAAAGCAGAUUUGUUUAUAUAUUUAAUUAUUAUAAAAUGUAAAAAGUAAUAUUAGUACGCAAGGAUUGAUUGU
This 1164-nucleotide ribosomal RNA is filed under the name Trypanosoma musculi. RNAcentral describes it as "12S ribosomal RNA". The stretch from base 612 to 1164 matches the Rfam family "Trypanosomatid mitochondrial large subunit ribosomal RNA". Lineage: Eukaryota; Euglenozoa; Kinetoplastea; Trypanosomatida; Trypanosomatidae. The record is from RNAcentral.